This 377-nucleotide unclassified non-coding RNA is filed under the name Hevea brasiliensis (rubber tree). The record is from RNAcentral. Lineage: Eukaryota; Viridiplantae; Streptophyta; Magnoliopsida; Malpighiales; Euphorbiaceae.
AAUUAACCACAACAUCAGGCUGCCCAAAAUUUUGUGAGAUGUCAUCAAAGCCAUUGCCGGUUCGUAAAUCUACAUGAAAGGGUAGGGCAUGAGGAAUGGCUUCCAGUAGGCGCUCAGGUGGGGGAUUGGUGUGGUAGGUAAAGGCUAACGAGAGAGCAUAUGGAAGAGUAUUUUGGGUUGCCGUGAAUUCCUGCAGAAGAUGCUGACCCAAGUAACCUGUGCCACCAACUAUCAAUAUCUUCUUGCUACUCAUUUUCAAUUUCUGUGAGAUCUCUUAGCUUCUCCACUGAUUUCUACAAUCGUAAUUCGUAUCUUGGAAAAGCAAUGCAGUUUUUAUGGGGCCAAGGAGUUUGCUGUGCCUACUGAUGAGAGUCACA